This 492-nucleotide ribosomal RNA is filed under the name uncultured bacterium. Its description in RNAcentral is "partial 16S ribosomal RNA". It matches the Rfam family "Bacterial small subunit ribosomal RNA", at positions 29 to 507 of the family's 1533-position model. The record is from RNAcentral.
AGUGAACGCUGGCGGUAGGCCUAACACAUGCGAGUCGAACUGCAGCACAGUAAGAGCUUGCUCUUACGGGUGGCGAGUGGCGGACGGGUGAGGAAUACAUCGGAAUCUACUUUUUCGUGGGGGAUAACGUAGGGAAACUUACGCUAAUACCGCAUACGACCUACGGGUGAAAGCAGGGGAUCUUCGGACCUUGCGCGAUUGAAUGAGCCGAUGUCGGAUUAGCUAGUUGGCGGGGUAAAGGCCCACCAAGGCGACGAUCCGUAGCUGGUCUGAGAGGAUGAUCAGCCACACUGGAACUGAGACACGGUCCAGACUCCUACGGGAGGCAGCAGUGGGGAAUAUUGGACAAUGGGCGCAAGCCUGAUCCAGCCAUACCGCGUGGGUGAAGAAGGCCUUCGGGUUGUAAAGCCCUUUUGUUGGGAAAGAAAAGCAGCAGGUUAAUACCCCGCUGUUCUGACGGUACCCAAAGAAUAAGCACCGGCUAACUUCGUG